GCUCGCGGGCCCAGUGGUGCGUGCCUGUAGUCCCAGCUACUUGGGAGGCUGAGGUGGGAGAGGAUGGCUUGAGCCCAGGAGUUCUGGGCUGUAGUGUGCUAUGCCAGUCGGGUGUCCACACUAGUUUGGCAUCAAUAUGUUGACCUCCCAGGAUCAGGGGACCACCAGGUUGCCUGAGGAGGGGUGAACCGGCCCAGGUCGGAAACGGAGCAGGUCAAAACUCCCGUGCUGAUCAGUAGUAGGAUCGCACCUGUGAAUAGCCACUGCACUCCAGCUUGGGCAACAUAGCGAGACUCCGUCUCU
Molecule: signal recognition particle RNA, 303 nt
Filed under: Aotus nancymaae (Ma's night monkey)
Lineage: Eukaryota; Metazoa; Chordata; Mammalia; Primates; Aotidae
Description: Metazoan signal recognition particle RNA (ENSANAG00000006336.1)
Rfam family: Metazoan signal recognition particle RNA
About the family: The signal recognition particle (SRP) is a universally conserved ribonucleoprotein. It is involved in the co-translational targeting of proteins to membranes. The eukaryotic SRP consists of a 300-nucleotide 7S RNA and six proteins: SRPs 72, 68, 54, 19, 14, and 9.
Source: RNAcentral